This 485-nucleotide ribosomal RNA is filed under the name Bartonella grahamii. RNAcentral describes it as "bacterial SSU rRNA". It matches the Rfam family "Bacterial small subunit ribosomal RNA", at positions 954 to 1436 of the family's 1533-position model. Lineage: Bacteria; Pseudomonadati; Pseudomonadota; Alphaproteobacteria; Hyphomicrobiales; Bartonellaceae. The record is from RNAcentral.
AAGCAACGCGCAGAACCUUACCAGCCCUUGACAUCCCGAUCGCGGAAGGUGGAGACACCCUCCUUCAGUUAGGCUGGAUCGGAGACAGGUGCUGCAUGGCUGUCGUCAGCUCGUGUCGUGAGAUGUUGGGUUAAGUCCCGCAACGAGCGCAACCCUCGCCCUUAGUUGCCAGCAUUUAGUUGGGCACUCUAAGGGGACUGCCGGUGAUAAGCCGAGAGGAAGGUGGGGAUGACGUCAAGUCCUCAUGGCCCUUACGGGCUGGGCUACACACGUGCUACAAUGGUGGUGACAGUGGGCAGCGAGACCGCGAGGUCGAGCUAAUCUCCAAAAGCCAUCUCAGUUCGGAUUGCACUCUGCAACUCGAGUGCAUGAAGUUGGAAUCGCUAGUAAUCGUGGAUCAGCAUGCCACGGUGAAUACGUUCCCGGGCCUUGUACACACCGCCCGUCACACCAUGGGAGUUGGUUUUACCCGAAGGUGCUGUGCU